This 1870-nucleotide long non-coding RNA is filed under the name Homo sapiens (human). RNAcentral's name for it is "PREDICTED lncRNA (TCONS_00158969)". Lineage: Eukaryota; Metazoa; Chordata; Mammalia; Primates; Hominidae. The record is from RNAcentral.
CUUUUUUGCCGGUUCUUCCCGCUGAGGAAGUGUCGCUCAAGACGCUGGCCUAUGAGUUGUGAUUUCUGCCUUUUCCCCUUCCUCCUUGGGCUAAGCCAGACCAGAAAGGGCCCCGUGCGCAACGUGCUUCACAAUCUCUCAGGGAAAGCGGCUAACGUGGCGCUACUCCGCCUCCCCUGUUCCUUACCCUUGGGGCGGCCGCCAUGUUUCCUGAACACAAAAUGGCGACACGUGAGGAAGACAAACAUAAAGAUGAAGUGCUUAAUUCAAGGUCACACAAUGUCGGGGAUGGACCUCCAGAUUUCCUUACUGGUGAGACGUGGUCUUGUAACACAGUGGUUAAGAAUGUGACUUUGGAGCCAGCCUGCUAGGGGCUGAAUUCUGACUCAGCCAUUUACUAACUGUGUGACCUUAGGUGGAGUCUCACUCUGUAGCCCAAGCUGGAGUGGCGUGAUCUCGACUCACUGCAACCUCCGCCUCCUGGGAUCAAGUGAUUCUCGUGCCUCAGCCUCCUGAGUAGCCGGGACUACAGAGAUGAGAUUUCACCAUAUUACCCAGGCUGUUCUUGAACUCCUAGGCUCAAGUGAUUUGUCUGCCUCAGCCUCCCAAAGUGUUAGGAUUACAGGUGUGAGCCACUGCACCCGGCUGCCUUUUCACUCCUAAUUGUAUCCUCUGUUGCACAGAAAUUUUUAAGUUUGAUGUAGUCCCAUAUGUCUCCUUUUUUUUCCCCAUGCUUUUUAUGAUUUCUAGCAUCUUUUUGUGGGCUUAUUGUGCUUGUAUAUCUUCUUUGGAGAAAUGUCUGUUCAAUUCCUUUGCCCUUUUUUGAAUGGGGUUGUUUGGUUUUUCUGUUGUGGAAUAUUUAAAUUUCUCUAUGUAUCCUCAAUGUUAAGCCAUACUAGAGAUAUGCUUUUCAAAUAUUUUCCCCCAUUCUGUGCAUCACCUUUUUUACUCUGCUGAAAGUGCUGUUUGAUGCAAAAAAGUGUUUAAUUUUCAUGAGGUCCAAUAUAUCUAUUUUUUCUUUUGUUGCCUGUGCCUUGGGUGUUAUAUUCAAGAAAUCAUUGACAAAUCCAAUGAUAUGCUCUUCUACACUCUUAAAAAUUAUAGACAACCCCAAAUAACUUUUAUUUAGUGGUUUUAACAAUAUUUACCAUGUCUGAAAUAUGAUAAACAUUAAAAUUAGUAUUUUGGAAAAAUGCCAUAUUAGAAACUGAUGAUUUAAAAGUAACAACAAUGAAUCCAUUACAUGUGAACAUACUGUUUUUUUGUUUGUUUGUUUGUUUGUUUUGAGACGGAGUUUCACUCUUUUGCCCAGGCUGGAGUGCAGUGGUGCGAUUGCAGCUCACUGUAGUCUUCGCCUCCCAGGCUCAAGUGAUUCUCAUGCCUCAGCCUCCUGAGUAGCUGGGAUUACAGGUGCUCACCACCACACCCGGCUAAUUUUUGUAGAGAUGGGGUUUCACCGUAUUGGCCAGGCUGGUCUUGAACUCCAGACUUCAAGUGAUCCACCCACCUUGGCCUCCCAAAGUGCUGGGAUUACGGGCAUGAGCCACUGCACCAGGCCAACAUACUUUUUAUAAAAACAGCUGUCUUCUCUAAAACAACAAAAAAAUGUAGAUAAUAGUAGUAUCAUUUUAUAGUUUUGCAACUCUCUUUAAUGUUUGGCUUAAUAGAAGAUAGUUGGAUUCUCGUAUCUGUUUUUGUAUUCAGUCUGUUGUGUAUGUUGUUUUGAUUGAAGUAGAUGAAGGAAAUCCAGCUACAUACAGAUUUGGAGUUGGAAAAAAUAGUAUUUUAAUAACCUUUUUAGAUCAUGGUGGAUACUCUUCUUUGUUAUGUCAUCAAAAUUAGACAAAUGGCAGUUUCUGAAAAAUUAGUU